GAUGAACGCUGGCGGCGUGCCUAAUACAUGCAAUUCGAGCGAACAGACGAGGAGCUUGCUCCUCUGACGUUAGCGGCGGACGGGUGAGUAACACGUGGAUAACCUACCUAUAAGACUGGGAUAACUUCGGGAAACCGGAGCUAAUACCGGAUAAUAUAUUGAACCGCAUGGUUCAAUAGUGAAAGACGGUUUUGCUGUCACUUAUAGAUGGAUCCGCGCCGCAUUAGCUAGUUGGUAAGGUAACGGCUUACCAAGGCGACGAUGCGUAGCCGACCUGGGAGGGUGAUCGGCCACACUGGAACUGAGACACGGUCCAGACUCCUACGGGAGGCAGCAGUAGGGAAUCUUCCGCAAUGGGCGAAAGCCUGACGGAGCAACGCCGCGUGAGUGAUGAAGGUCUUCGGAUCGUAAAACUCUGUUAUUAGGGAAGAACAAAUGUGUAAGUAACUAUGCACGUCUUGACGGUACCUAAUCAGAAAGCCACGGCUAACUACGUG
Molecule: ribosomal RNA, 497 nt
Filed under: uncultured bacterium
Lineage: Bacteria
Description: partial 16S ribosomal RNA
Rfam family: Bacterial small subunit ribosomal RNA
Source: RNAcentral